Molecule: ribosomal RNA, 468 nt
Filed under: uncultured bacterium
Lineage: Bacteria
Description: partial 16S ribosomal RNA
Rfam family: Bacterial small subunit ribosomal RNA
Source: RNAcentral
GACGAACGCUGGCGGCGUGCUUAACACAUGCAAGUCGAACGGAAAGGCCCGGUUUUGGUGGGGUGGUCGAGUGGCGAACGGGUGAGUAACACGUGAGUAACCUGCCCUUGACUGUGGGAUAACUUCAGGAAACUGGGGGUCAUACCGGAUAGGAGCUCCUGCUGCAUGGUGGGGGUUGGAAAGUUUCGGCGGUUGGGGAUGGACUCGCGGCUUAUCAGAUUGUUGGUGGGGUAGUGGCUUACCAAGGCUUUGACGGGUAGCAGGCCUGAGAGGGUGAGCCGACAAGCUGCGAUGGAGCUACGGCCCAGACUCCUCUGGGACGCAGCAGUGCAGAAGAGUGCAUAAUGGGCGGAGGGCUGGUGUGGCAACGCCACGUGCGGUAAGACAUCAUUCGCGUUGGAUACCAAUUUCGCCUGUGACGAGGCGAGAGUGACGGUACUGGGUAAAGAAGCACCGGCUAACUACGUG